GCCUGGCUCAGUGGCACGUGCCUAUAGUCUCAGCUACUAGGGAGGCUGAGGCUGGAGGAUCACUUGAGUCCAGGAGUUCUGGGCUGUAGUGCAUUGUGCCGAUCGGGUGUUCACACUAAAUUCGGCAUCAAUAUGGUGACCUCCUGGGAGAGGGGGACCACCAGGUUGCCUAAGGAGGGGUGAACCGGCCCAGGUUGGAAAUGGAGCAGGUCAAAACUCUCGUGCUGAUCAGUAGUGGGAUCGUGCCUGUGAAUAGCCACUGCCCUCCAGCCUGGGGAACAUAGCAAUACCCUGUCUCU
Molecule: signal recognition particle RNA, 299 nt
Filed under: Aotus nancymaae (Ma's night monkey)
Lineage: Eukaryota; Metazoa; Chordata; Mammalia; Primates; Aotidae
Description: Metazoan signal recognition particle RNA (ENSANAG00000012708.1)
Rfam family: Metazoan signal recognition particle RNA
About the family: The signal recognition particle (SRP) is a universally conserved ribonucleoprotein. It is involved in the co-translational targeting of proteins to membranes.
Source: RNAcentral